UGGGAUAAAUGAUGAAUAUAUUCUUGAACUCUCUAACUGAUUUGUUGAUGACAGACAGAAUUCUGAUUUAUCCCA
This is a small nucleolar RNA of Acipenser ruthenus (sterlet), 75 nucleotides long. RefSeq annotates it as small nucleolar RNA SNORD81. Lineage: Eukaryota; Metazoa; Chordata; Actinopteri; Acipenseriformes; Acipenseridae. The record is from RefSeq and is a predicted model, not a curated record. The transcript has a single exon.